AUUGAACGCUGGCGGCGUGCUUAACACAUGCAAGUCGAUCGGUAACAGGUGUAGCAAUACAUGCUGACGAGAGGCGGACGGGUGAGUAAUGCUUGGGAAUCUGCCUAUUAGUGGGGGACAACCCGGGGAAACUCGGGCUAAUACCGCAUACGCUCUACGGAGGAAAGCCGGGGACCGCAAGGCCUGGCGCUAAUAGAUGAGCCCAAGUCGGAUUAGCUAGUUGGUAGGGAACGGCCUACCAAGGCGACAAUCCGUAGCUGGUCUGAGAGGACGACCAGCCACACCGGAACUGAGACACGGUCCGGACUCCUACGGGAGGCAGCAGUGGGGAAUAUUGGACAAUGGGGGCAACCCUGAUCCAGCGACGCCGCGUGGGUGAAGAAGGCCUGCGGGUUGUAAAGCCCGUUUCGGUGGGGAAGAAAAGUCUCGACCUAAUACGUCGGGACCUUGACCGUAACCCACUAAAGAAGCACCGGCUAACUCUGUGCCAGCAGCCGCU
This 499-nucleotide ribosomal RNA is filed under the name uncultured bacterium. RNAcentral describes it as "bacterial SSU rRNA". It matches the Rfam family "Bacterial small subunit ribosomal RNA", at positions 29 to 519 of the family's 1533-position model. The record is from RNAcentral.